RNAcentral lists this ribosomal RNA (492 nucleotides) under uncultured bacterium. RNAcentral describes it as "partial 16S ribosomal RNA". It matches the Rfam family "Bacterial small subunit ribosomal RNA", at positions 29 to 507 of the family's 1533-position model. The record is from RNAcentral.
AGUGAACGCUGGCGGUAGGCCUAACACAUGCCAGUCGAACGGCAGCACAGUAAGAGCUUGCUCUUACGGGUGGCGAGUGGCGGACGGGUGAUGAAUACAUCGGAAUCUACUUUUUCGUGGGGGAUAACGUAGGGAAACUUACGCUAAUACCGCAUACGACCUACGGGUGAAAGCAGGGGAUCUUCGGACCUUGCGCGAUUGAAUGAGCCGAUGUCGGAUUAGCUAGUUGGCGGGGUAAAGGCCCACCAAGGCGACGAUCCGUAGCUGGUCUGAGAGGAUGAUCAGCCACACUGGAACUGAGACACGGUCCAGACUCCUACGGGAGGCAGCAGUGGGGAAUAUUGGACAAUGGGCGCAAGCCUGAUCCAGCCAUACCGCGUGGGUGAAGAAGGCCUUCGGGUUGUAAAGCCCUUUUGUUGGGAAAGAAAAGCAGCAGGUUAAUACCCCGCUGUUCUGACGGUACCCAAAGAAUAAGCACCGGCUAACUUCGUG